Non-coding RNA from Pelodiscus sinensis (Chinese soft-shelled turtle), 346 nucleotides. NCBI's taxonomy places the organism in Eukaryota, Metazoa, Chordata, Testudines, Trionychidae. The record is from RefSeq and is a predicted model, not a curated record.
GCCAAGCAAGUGGCUCCAGCCCGGAGACCCGAUCCCCAACAAUGAGAGAAGAAAGCUCCGGAGGCCCAGGUCACAGACGCCUCCCCCACUAACCUCAGAAUGGAGGAACUCGAAGCGGAAGCAGACUUUCUAUGGGAACAGCAGGAAGACCUGUCCCUAACGCAUGCAUGGGAGCAAUCCGGCAUGUCCCAAGGCGAGGGGUCAGAUGACAGAGUGGCCUGCUGCGGGCCCCGAUUCAAGCUUGCCUUUCAAAUAAAGGGGAAGAGAAGAGAAAAGAAAUCUUCAGCAGUGAAAGCUUGAUGACUGGUCAACAGGAAACCACACCCACAUGACUCAGAAGAGAGAG